AGGUUACUGCUAUCGGUGUUCGCCUAAGCCAUGCGAGUCAUAUGUUCGUAAGAACAUGGCGUACUGCUCAGUAACACGUGGAUAACCUGCCCUUGGGUCCGGCAUAACCCCGGGAAACUGGGGAUAAUUCCGGAUAACGCACAUAUGCUGGAAUGCUUUAUGCGUAAAAUGGAUUCGUCUGCCCAAGGAUGGGUCUGCGGCCUAUCAGGUAGUAGUGGGUGUAAUGUACCUACUAGCCUACGACGGGUACGGGUUGUGAGAGCAAGAGCCCGGAGAUGGAUUCUGAGACAUGAAUCCAGGCCCUACGGGGCGCAGCAGGCGCGAAAACUUUACAAUGCGGGAAACCGUGAUAAGGGGACACCGAGUGCCAGCAUCCUAUGCUGGCUGUCCGGGUGUGUAAAAUACACCUGUUAGCAAGGGCCGGGCAAGACCGGUGCCAGCCGCCGCGGUAACACCGGCGGCCCGAGUGGUGAUCGUGAUUAUUGGGUCUAAAGGGUCCGUAGCCGGUUUGGUCAGUCCUCCGGGAAAUCUGACAGCUUAACUGUUAGGCUUUCGGAGGAUACUGCCAGACUUGGAACCGGGAGAGGUAAGAGGUACUACAGGGGUAGGAGUGAAAUCUUGUAAUCCCUGUGGGACCACCUGUGGCGAAGGCGUCUUACCAGAACGGGUUCGACGGUGAGGGACGAAAGCUGGGGGCACGAACCGGAUUAGAUACCCGGGUAGUCCCAGCCGUAAACGAUGCUCGCUAGGUGUCGGGCAUGGCGCGACCGUGUCUGGUGCCGCAGGGAAGCCGUGAAGCGAGCCACCUGGGAAGUACGGCCGCAAGGCUGAAACUUAA
RNAcentral lists this ribosomal RNA (838 nucleotides) under uncultured archaeon. RNAcentral describes it as "bacterial SSU rRNA". It matches the Rfam family "Archaeal small subunit ribosomal RNA", at positions 21 to 859 of the family's 1478-position model. The record is from RNAcentral.